GCAGGGUUAGCUCAACGGUGGAGCAGAGAUCUCAUAAAUCUUUGGUUGUUGGUUCGACUCCAACACCCUGUACCA
Molecule: transfer RNA, 75 nt
Filed under: Siphoviridae sp. ctZHD14
Lineage: Duplodnaviria; Heunggongvirae; Uroviricota; Caudoviricetes
Description: tRNA-Met
Rfam family: tRNA
About the family: Transfer RNA (tRNA) molecules are approximately 80 nucleotides in length.
Source: RNAcentral